AUUUAAAUAGUUUAAUUAAAAAUAUUGAUUUGUGGAAUCAGAGAUAUUUAUAAAAUUUUAAAUA
This 64-nucleotide transfer RNA is filed under the name Coccinella septempunctata (seven-spotted ladybird). Its description in RNAcentral is "tRNA-His". The record is from RNAcentral. Lineage: Eukaryota; Metazoa; Arthropoda; Insecta; Coleoptera; Coccinellidae.